Molecule: long non-coding RNA, 554 nt
Organism: Xenia sp. Carnegie-2017
Lineage: Eukaryota; Metazoa; Cnidaria; Anthozoa; Malacalcyonacea; Xeniidae
Exons: 2
Source: RefSeq, a predicted model, not a curated record
CACGAGGGCUAUUUAGAAGCUAUUUUUCUAAAAUUUAUACAAAUAUGUUGGAAAUCGAAUGUAAAUCAAUAUUACAUCAAAGAUAAUUUAAUCACCUGCCAAUAUGCGAGGUCGACGUAGGCAAACAACAUUGUAUCAUACAACUCUAGCUGUAGGUUGGUUGCUAACAAAGAAUAUGGCAUUGAUCCCAGCCUGUGUAAUAGCUUUGUGUUUUACAAACUUCUUCGAUGCUCCCAUAACACUCACGUUCACCAGUAUAUGUUACUAUAUAGUAUAUAUGAAUAUAAUAUUAUAUCCUUAUAUUUAGAAAUAUUGAAUUGUUGAUCAAAUUUAUAGAGCUCCUGCUUACCAACCUCUAUCAUGUUUUAAGUUAUAUUGGAACCAACUCAUCGGAUACAUGAUUAAUACUCUCGUCUGCUGAAAAAUUAUUGUUGUGUAAUUCCGUGUUCUCUUUUCAAACAAAAGCUAUAAAAUAAGCUUUAAAGCUGAUAGAAACAAUGUGAAAUUUAUUUAUUUAAACGAAACAGUAAUAGCGAUUAAAGAAACUGCACGAA